GAUAUUUCAUGGCGCGUGCGUGCUUUUCUUUAUGGAAAUAUAUCUGGAUACAUACAAUAUUGUACGCGUCCUUUUGAUCUGCCAGCUUUUCGAAAAUGAAGGCUCCACAGUGGUGUGUGUAACUGUAGGUCUGUAGCCUCCCUGUCGCGAAAGGCAUUGUUAUCUGCCUGUACAGAAACUGUAGCGUUAGGUCUUUGCGUUGCGUGAUGCCUUGCUUGAUUGACAAUUUGACGUGACGAGUACUACUGUGCUUGGCAGAUAAAGGUCAAUGACUGUUACUAUUACCUGAUUAUUACUGUAUUUACCAUCGGGAUGUAACUACCUGGCUCUCUGGAUCGUUCACGUACGUGCGGUUGACGCGUUGGCGCAGUGGCUGGCACGUCGGGAUCAAGGGAGGCGCGCGAGUACGCGCGGGCUGGCUGACGAGCUAGCGCACGUGGAACACGGGCGCAUCCUGGUCGUGGCCGGCCGGUACCACCCUAUUUCGCAUUCCCAGAGUAGUAGCCGGGCAUGUUUCCAUUUCCAGGAGGGGGCCGCCCGUCCGUGGAAGGACGAGGACGACGACCCCUUUUGAGUGCUGAAAAACCCUGCACAUCUUUCUUUCUUUUUUCUUUCUUUUCACAAGCGGGGAGAAAUGAAAGGCAUGCACAAGUAUUCUUGUCCCCUUUCAACGCCAGCAACACCCCUGCUCAUCAGCCCCUCCUCGCGUUAUGACAGGUGGGACCAAUAUCGUUCCUCGCAUCUCUCCGCACGCCACCAAUCUUCCUGCCGUGCCUCCUCUCUGUUGGCCUCUUGUAGUUCUACAAAGCAGGGGAGAGCAACAGCUCACGCAGGGGUGCUUGGGCCGGCGGAGGAGCUCCAUCCAUGCAGAUGAGCUUGGGCCCAGCGGAGGAGCACCUUCCCUGCAGAAGAGGUGGCCUCGCGAAGGACCUCCGUCGCGACGGAGGAGCUUGAGCCCAAGCGCCUCCGAUGCUCGUGACGGGGAAGGCGACGGAUCCAGGCUACCUCGGCCUCGCGUAGGAAGCCAACGACCUUAUCGAAACGAAGCUCGACCUGCAUCGAUUUGCCCAACCAAAGCUCGGGCGACGUCGAAUCGAAGAGCAGGCCAGUGACCUCGCCGGCCGCCGCGCGAGUCCUUGGCUAUCUACACGGUCCGUCUCCUCCUCGCUCCUCAACUCGAUUUGCGCCGCGGCCGGAUUUGCCACUCGAUUUGUUGGAAUUGAAUGGAUCUCGGGCUCGAUUUGCCGCUGCCUGGGCAUGGUGCGGCGGAGGGGAGAUGCUGCGUGUGGAGGAGUUGCGGCAGAGGAGCGACACCACCACCACCGAAGGGGUCGGAGCGACGCAGGAACACCGGUGCGUGGAGGCGACGAGCAGGUUGCGCGGGAGGUGAAACGGAAGAAACGGCCGAGUAGGGGCCUCCCUACGCACCCGUACAGCAAAGGAUCCGAGUAGAGACCUGGCUGGAGUUGUAUUUUUUCUUCUGUAGGAGUUUUGCUGGAAUUUGCUCUUACCAGUCUAGUCGCGUGGACAUGCUAAAUCUGACAGCAGGGUGAUGAGGAUCACCGGUUUUCGCCCACUCCA
This is a long non-coding RNA of Setaria italica (foxtail millet), 1581 nucleotides long. RefSeq lists it as uncharacterized. The record is from RefSeq and is a predicted model, not a curated record. Lineage: Eukaryota; Viridiplantae; Streptophyta; Magnoliopsida; Poales; Poaceae. The transcript is spliced from 2 exons.